CAAGCACACGCAGCGUGUAUAUGUAUGUGUGUAUAUAUAUAUAUAUAUAUAUAUAUAUAUAUACACAUACACACACAUAUAUACAUAUAUAUAUAUUUACACACACACACAUACAUACACUGCUGUGUGUGUGUG
Non-coding RNA from Pelobates cultripes (western spadefoot toad), 135 nucleotides. NCBI's taxonomy places the organism in Eukaryota, Metazoa, Chordata, Amphibia, Anura, Pelobatidae. The record is from the annotation of a GenBank genome assembly.